RNAcentral lists this ribosomal RNA (465 nucleotides) under uncultured bacterium. RNAcentral describes it as "partial 16S ribosomal RNA". It matches the Rfam family "Bacterial small subunit ribosomal RNA", at positions 338 to 795 of the family's 1533-position model. The record is from RNAcentral.
CCUACGGGUGGCAGCAGUAGGGAAUUUUCCACAAUGGGCGAAAGCCUGAUGGAGCAACGCCGCGUGUGUGAAGAAGGUCUUCGGAUCGUAAAACCCUGUUGUUAGAGAAGAAAGUGCGUUAGAGUAACUGUUCACGUUUCGACGGUAUCUGACCAGAAAGCAACGGCUAACUACGUGCCAGCAGCCGCGGUAAUACGGAGGUUGCAAGCGUUAUCCGGAUUUAUUGGGCGUAAAGGGAACGCAGGCGGUCUUUUAAGUCUGAUGUGAAAGCCUUCGGCUUAACCGGGGUAGUGCAUUGGAAACUGGGAGACUUGAGUGCAGAAGAGGAGAGUAGAAUGCCAUGUGUAGCGGUGAAAUGCGUAGAGAUAUGGAAGAACACCAGUGGCGAAAGCGGCUCUCUGGUCUGUAACUGACGCUGAGGUUCGAAAGCGUGGGUAGCAAACAGGAUUAGAUACCCCUGUAGUC